RNAcentral lists this ribosomal RNA (296 nucleotides) under uncultured bacterium. RNAcentral describes it as "partial 16S ribosomal RNA". It matches the Rfam family "Bacterial small subunit ribosomal RNA", at positions 775 to 1067 of the family's 1533-position model. The record is from RNAcentral.
GGAUUAGAUACCCUGGUAGUCCACGCCGUAAACGAUGAACACUAGGUGUUGCGGGUAUUGACCCCUGCAGUGCCGACGCUAACGCAUUAAGUGUUCCGCCUGGGGACUACGGCCGCAAGGCUAAAACUCAAAGGAAUUGACGGGGGCCCGCACAAGCGGUGGAGUAUGUGGUUUAAUUCGACGACGCGCAGAACCUUACCCGGGCUUGACAUCGAGGGAAAGCUCUUAGAAAUAAGAGCCCUCUUCUUCGGAAGACCCAAAGACAGGUGCUGCAUGGCUGUCGUCAGCUCGUGCCG